CCCAGCUUUUUAUCACUGGCAUUGGUUGCUCGUCAAAACAAUUAUGUGAGGCCAACUUUGACUACAGAAGACUUGCUUGAUAUACAGAAUGGAAGACAUGUUUUCCAGGAAAUGACUGUAGAUACUUUCAUUCCCAAUGAUACUAAGAUUCAAGAUGAUGGAAGGAUUAAUAUCAUCACUGGCCCUAAUUAUUUAGGGAAAAGUAUCUACAUAAAGCAGGU
Camellia sinensis is the source of this 221-nucleotide non-coding RNA. Lineage: Eukaryota; Viridiplantae; Streptophyta; Magnoliopsida; Ericales; Theaceae. The record is from RefSeq and is a predicted model, not a curated record.